RNAcentral lists this ribosomal RNA (492 nucleotides) under uncultured bacterium. RNAcentral describes it as "partial 16S ribosomal RNA". It matches the Rfam family "Bacterial small subunit ribosomal RNA", at positions 28 to 506 of the family's 1533-position model. The record is from RNAcentral.
GACGAACGCUGGCGGCGUGCCUAACACAUGCAAGUUGAGCGACGAACCAGGGCUUGCCCUGGGGCAAAGCAGCGAACGGGUGAGUAACACGUGGGUAACCUACCCCGAUAACCGGGACAACCCGAGGAAACUCGGGCUAAUACCGGAUGUGCUCACUGGACUUCGGUUCAGUGCGUAAAGGAAGCUUCGGCCUCCGUAUCGGGAGGGGCCCGCGGCCCAUUAGUUUGUUGGUGAGGUAACGGCUCACCAAGACCGCGAUGGGUAGCUGGUCUGAGAGGACAAUCAGCCACACUGGGACUGAGACACGGCCCAGACUCCUACGGGAGGCAGCAGUGGGGAAUCUUGCGCAAUGCGCGAAAGCGUGACGCAGCAACGCCGCGUGGGGGAAGAAGGCCUUCGGGUUGUAAACCCCUUUCAGGAGGGACGAAGGUUCGGCGGUGAAUAGCCGUCCGGACUGACGGUACCUCCACAAGAAGCCCCGGCCAACUACGU